UACGGAGGAUCCGAGCGUUAUCCGGAUUUAUUGGGUUUAAAGGGUGCGUAGGCGGCCCAUUAAGUCAGGGGUGAAAUACGGCAGCUCAACUGUCGCAGUGCCUUUGAUACUGAUGGGCUUGAAUGUGGUUGAAGAUGGCGGAAUGAGACAAGUAGCGGUGAAAUGCAUAGAUAUGUCUCAGAACUCCGAUUGCGAAGGCAGCUAUCUAAGCCAUUAUUGACGCUGAUGCACGAAAGCGUGGGGAUCAAACAGG
RNAcentral lists this ribosomal RNA (253 nucleotides) under uncultured bacterium. RNAcentral describes it as "partial 16S ribosomal RNA". It matches the Rfam family "Bacterial small subunit ribosomal RNA", at positions 524 to 776 of the family's 1533-position model. The record is from RNAcentral.